CGAAGAAAAACUUUGCAAUGUGCGAAAGCACGACAAGGUUAAUCCGAGUGGUUUCUGCUAAAGAGACCUUUUGUCGGUCCUAGAAACACCGAUGAAUAAGGGGUGGGCAAGUUCUGGUGUCAGCCGCCGCGGUAAAAACCAGCACCUCAAGUGGUCAGGAUGAUUAUGGGCCUAAAGCAUCCGUAGCCGGCUCUGUAAGUUUUCGGUAAAUCCAUUUGCUCAACGAAUGGGCUGCCGGGAAUACUGCAAAGCUAGGGAGUGGAGAGGU
RNAcentral lists this ribosomal RNA (268 nucleotides) under uncultured Nitrososphaerota archaeon. RNAcentral's name for it is "uncultured thaumarchaeote partial 16S ribosomal RNA". It matches the Rfam family "Archaeal small subunit ribosomal RNA", at positions 338 to 608 of the family's 1478-position model. The record is from RNAcentral. Lineage: Archaea; Thermoproteati; Nitrososphaerota.